GAAGGACUGCCCCAGCUGCUCCAGGACACAGGAACGCGGUCCACGGGGACGAAUUCAAGCCACACAUCAGCUGUGCCCCUCUGCAGGACUAGCAGGCACAUGUUGAGAGCACAAUGAAGUAAUCAUCAGACCUGGUGACACCAACUAGAUGGCUGCCUGCACCAUUAUGGAUCCAAGAUGGCAACAGAUAUUGCACUGCCCUGACCCCCAUGCUGACGGCUAUAACAAGAUCUCCCCAUCUCAGGCAGAACACGAUUUACUGUCACGUCUACUUCCCAGCGAGCACCGGUGGCUGCGUCUUUUGCUGUUGGCACAGCGUGGCCCGGUUACCAAGAAAGAGCCCUCCGGACCCGUCUGCCAGCAUCGCGUUAUUUUACCUAUAUAGGUCUAUGUGACUUUCUUGUAACGCAGACUUGCUCUCUCGUGUCUCUGGUUUACUCACUUGGGUUUCUGCUGAGCUACAUGUGUGAGUUGCCAAGCAAGUCACUUAGUCAUGUCAUGUCAAGUAGUCAUGUAGUCACGUCAAGAAUGUGUUCCACCGAAGUGUGGAUGAGUGACCCGUUGUAAGUAGUGUAUCUAGCAGUGUAAGUCACCGCGGUGAAUAAGGUGUGUGGGCUGAUAACACCCCAUAGAGUUCAUUGGAAGUCGCUUUGGACAAAAGCGUCUGCUAAAUAUGUAAAUGUAAAAAAAUUAUGUGAGGAAUAGUCAAUCAGUAAUUCAGUUUCUCUGUAUGAAACUCUGCGCAGUACCACACACACACACACACAUUUUCAGAACCGCUUGUCCCUUACGGGGUCACGGGGAACCGGAGCCUACCCGGCAACACAGGGCGUAAGGCCGGAGAGGGAAGGGGACACACCCAGGACGGGACGCCAGUCCGUCACAAGGCACCCCAAGCGGGACUUGAACCCCAGACCCACCGGAGAGUAGGACUGCGGUCCAACCCACUGCGCCACCGCACCCC
Molecule: long non-coding RNA, 964 nt
Filed under: Scleropages formosus (Asian bonytongue)
Lineage: Eukaryota; Metazoa; Chordata; Actinopteri; Osteoglossiformes; Osteoglossidae
Description: lncRNA (ENSSFOG00015029438.1)
Source: RNAcentral